GAGUUUGAUCUUGGCUCAGAUUGAACGCUGGCGGCAUGUCUUACACAUGCAAGUCGAACGGCAGCACGGGAGCUUGCUCCUGGUGGCGAGUGGCGAACGGGUGAGUAAUGCAUCGGAACGUAUCCUGGAGUGGGGGAUAACGUAGCGAAAGUUACGCUAAUACCGCAUAUUCUGUGAGCAGGAAAGCGGGGGACCUUCGGGCCUCGCGCUCUUGGAGCGGCCGAUGUCGGAUUAGCUAGUUGUGAGGUAAAGGCUCACCAAGGCGACGAUCCGUAGCAGGUCUGAGAGGAUGAUCUGCCACACUGGAACUGAGACACGGUCCAGACUCCUACGGGAGGCAGCAGUGGGGAAUUUUGGACAAUGGGGGCAACCCUGAUCCAGCCAUGCCGCGUGAGUGAAGAAGGCCUCGGUUGU
RNAcentral lists this ribosomal RNA (414 nucleotides) under bacterium enrichment culture clone ALO1_GLFRUDD03HIB7U. Its description in RNAcentral is "bacterial SSU rRNA". It matches the Rfam family "Bacterial small subunit ribosomal RNA", at positions 9 to 426 of the family's 1533-position model. The record is from RNAcentral.